UACGUAGGUGGCAAGCGUUAUCCGGAAUUAUUGGGCGUAAAGAGAGAGCAGGCGGUCAUUUAAGUCUGAAGUUAAAAGCAGUAGCUCAACUAUUGUAUGCUUUGGAUACUGGAAGGCUAGAGUGCGAGAGAGGUUAGCGGAACUCCAUGUGUAGCGGUGAAAUGCGUAGAUAUAUGGAAGAACACCAGUGGCGAAGGCGGCUAACUAGCUCGAAACUGACGCUCAUUCUCGAAAGCGUGGGUAGCAAAUAGG
Molecule: ribosomal RNA, 252 nt
Filed under: uncultured bacterium
Lineage: Bacteria
Description: partial 16S ribosomal RNA
Rfam family: Bacterial small subunit ribosomal RNA
Source: RNAcentral